Cydia fagiglandana is the source of this 832-nucleotide long non-coding RNA. RefSeq lists it as uncharacterized. The record is from RefSeq and is a predicted model, not a curated record. The transcript has 3 exons. Lineage: Eukaryota; Metazoa; Arthropoda; Insecta; Lepidoptera; Tortricidae.
GUGUAACCCGUUUUUUUUUUCAAUUUUUAUCAAUACAUUUAUUUGUUCGAUUACAGUGGAUGCAAGCGACGCCAACGAUGCUGCCUGAUGCAUUGUUGCAGUCUGAUGGCCUGCGGGGUGUUUGGCGUCAUUGUCGCGUUUUCGAUCUAUUUUGCAUAAAGUCAAGUAACUACAUGUCAAGUAAAUGGAUUGUUGUUCAAUACAUCUAUGCGCAAAAAAAGAGCUACAAUAUGUAAACCAAAUUAGAAGAGAUAUGAAACAACAAGAAAGGCGUCAUGAUAAGGAAGAAAAGCAGUUCCAAAAAGAAUUGAAAAAACUACAAAACAAACGAAAGAGACGAUUACAUGCUCUUAAGAGAGCCGUUAGAAAGUGGGAUCCGAAGGACGAGAGAAAAUGUCGUGUUUUCCGUACUCCAUCGAAAGUUAUAAUUGCGAGGAAAUGCGUCUGCAAAAAACUAUUUUUAAAAAAACUCCGCCCAUGCUGCUGUCUUAUCGUCAUUGGACUUGUGAUUUUAUUAGCUAUAGCACUCCCAAUUGGCCCUUGAGUACGAUUCAUUGCAUAUCGUGGCGCAUCCUACCGAAUGCGCCAGUACGCAGUGACUAGCAGACGCAUCGUGGCGGUCAAAGUGUUCACAAAUACCUAAACAGAACGUCUAUUAUCAAGCUUAAACAAGUUUAAGAUCAAGUUUAAAUAAACUCACAGGUAUGGCACCUCACCCGCUCUGAUGGCGAUCUGAUGGCGACUGUGCCUAUAGCGAGUAGAAGCGAAUUAAGAAAUUAUAUAAAGUUAGACCAAGAAUAGUCUGCAGCAGUUUUGAUAGCCCACGCAGUAG